RNAcentral lists this ribosomal RNA (429 nucleotides) under Acidobacteriota bacterium. Its description in RNAcentral is "Acidobacteria bacterium partial 16S ribosomal RNA". It matches the Rfam family "Bacterial small subunit ribosomal RNA", at positions 355 to 776 of the family's 1533-position model. The record is from RNAcentral. Lineage: Bacteria; Pseudomonadati; Acidobacteriota.
UGGGGAAUUUUGGACAAUGGGGGAAACCCUGAUCCAGCCAUCCCGCGUGUGCGAUGAAGGCCUUCGGGUUGUAAAGCACUUGUGGCAGGAAAGAAACGUCAUGGGUUAAUACCCCGUGAAACUGACGGUACCUGCAGAAUAAGCACCGGCUAACUACGUGCCAGCAGCCGCGGUAAUACGUAGGGUGCAAGCGUUAAUCGGAAUUACUGGGCGUAAAGCGUGCGCAGGCGGUUCGGAAAGAAAGAUGUGAAAUCACAGAGCUCAACUUUGGAACUGCAUUUUUAACUACCGGGCUAGAGUGUGUCAGAGGGAGGUGGAAUUCCGCGUGUAGCAGUGAAAUGCGUAGAUAUGCGGAGGAACACCGAUGGCGAAGGCAGCCUCCUGGGAUAACACUGACGCUCAUGCACGAAAGCGUGGGGAGCAAACAGG